Molecule: ribosomal RNA, 468 nt
Filed under: uncultured bacterium
Lineage: Bacteria
Description: partial 16S ribosomal RNA
Rfam family: Bacterial small subunit ribosomal RNA
Source: RNAcentral
GACGAACGCUGGCGGCGUGCUUAACACAUGCAAGUCGAACGGACAGGCCCUGCUUUUGUGGGGUGCUCGAGUGGCGAACGGGUGAGUAACCCGUGAGUAACCUGCCCUUGACUUUGGGAUAACUUCAGGAAACUGGGGCUAAUACCGGAUAGGAGCUCCUGCUGCAUGGUGGGGGUUGGAGAGUUUCGGCGGUUGGGGAUGGACUCGCGGCUUAUCAGCUUGUUGGUGGGGUAGUGGCUUACCAAGGCUUUGACGGGUAGCCGGCCUGAGAGGGUGACCGGCCACAUUGGGACUGAGAUACGGCCGAGACUCCUGCGGGAGGCAGCAGUGGGGAAUAUUGCACAAUGGGCGGAAGCCUGAUGCAGCAACGCCGCGUGCGGGAGGACGGCCUUCGGGUUGUAAACCGCUUUCGCCUGUGACGAAGCGUGAGUGACGGUAAUGGGUAAAGAAGCACCGGCUAACUACGUG